CCCGCUUUUUUUUUUUUUUUCCCCUCUUCUCCAGCGCAACGGCCAUUUUCCUUGCCUCCCCUUCUCCACGAUAAUCCUCCUCUUCUUCUUCCUUGCUUGAGGAAACAUCAGUCGCCCUUCUCCUUCUCCUUCUCUCCCACCUGUCUUCUGUUCUUUUUUAAGGGUUUCUGAGAAAACAAAUUUGGCCUAAGAUUGGGUUGUGUUACUGAAGUGAAACGAUCAGGCAAAUGGCCUUAACCAACUUUAUACUCACAGUGGCGGGUGUUGGUGGUGUGAUUCUGCUGAUGAGGACUGAUAUCAAGCAAUCGGCUACCAUCUUCAGACGCAAUGUUCGACAGAUUCGCCAUUGGCUCGAGGAAGAGUCUGCUUCUGCUGCAAAGGAAAUGGAGAAGGCAAAACCAAAGGAGAUACCUGGAAAGGAUAUACCCAAGGAGGAAAAGCACUAGCUUGGUCCUUGAAACCUGGGUUUAUUUAAGAAACUGUACAUUUUAGCAAUUUUGCUUUAGCUUUUGGUCCAUCUUUGUAUAAAUCUUUUGAGUUUGGAGAGCGAGUUUAUGCUCUAGUUUGGAUAAUUGUGUCAUUGGAAGGAAAAAGAAGUGAAAGUUUCCUAGUUUAACAUUUAAAACGUGGAAGAGUAAAUUGCAUACUACCAGUUCAUAUC
Molecule: long non-coding RNA, 661 nt
Organism: Coffea eugenioides
Lineage: Eukaryota; Viridiplantae; Streptophyta; Magnoliopsida; Gentianales; Rubiaceae
Exons: 3
Source: RefSeq, a predicted model, not a curated record